This 778-nucleotide ribosomal RNA is filed under the name uncultured Zetaproteobacteria bacterium. Its description in RNAcentral is "bacterial SSU rRNA". It matches the Rfam family "Bacterial small subunit ribosomal RNA", at positions 33 to 806 of the family's 1533-position model. The record is from RNAcentral. Lineage: Bacteria; Pseudomonadati; Pseudomonadota; Candidatius Mariprofundia.
ACGCUGGCGGCGUGCCUAACACAUGCAAGUCGAACGGUAACAGUCCUUCGGGAGCUGACGAGUGGCGCACGGGUGAGUAACGCGUGGAUAUCUGCCUAUUAGUGGGGGACAACUACAGGAAACUGUAGCUAAUACCGCAUAAUCUCUACGGAGGAAAGCAGGGGACCUUUCGGGGCCUUGCGCUGAUAGAUGAGUCCGCGUCUGAUUAGCUAGUUGGUAAGGUAAUGGCUUACCAAGGCGAUGAUCAGUAACUGGUUUGAGAGGAUGAUCAGUCACACUGGAACUGAGACACGGUCCAGACUCCUACGGGAGGCAGCAGUGGGGAAUAUUGCACAAUGGGGGAAACCCUGAUGCAGCGACGCCGCGUGCGGGAAGAAGGCCUUCGGGUUGUAAACCGCUUUCAAUUGGGAAGAAGAGAUGAGUAUUAAUAAUGCUCUGAUUUGACGGUACCUUUAGAAGAAGCACCGGCUAAUUUCGUGCCAGCAGCCGCGGUAAUACGAAAGGUGCAAGCGUUGUUCGGAUUUACUGGGCGUAAAGAGAUCGUAGGUGGUUUAUUAAGUCGGAUGUGAAAUCCCGGGGCUCAACCCCGGAACUGCAUUCGAUACUGAUAGGCUAGAGUUUGGGGAGGGGUAAGCGGAAUUCCGUGUGUAGCAGUGAAAUGCGUAGAUAUACGGAGGAACACCUGAGGCGAAGGCGGCUUACUGGACCAAUACUGACACUGAGGAUCGAAAGCGUGGGUAGCAAACAGAUUAGAUACCCUGGUAGUCCACGCCCUAAA